This 400-nucleotide ribosomal RNA is filed under the name uncultured bacterium. Its description in RNAcentral is "bacterial SSU rRNA". It matches the Rfam family "Bacterial small subunit ribosomal RNA", at positions 355 to 752 of the family's 1533-position model. The record is from RNAcentral.
UAAGGAAUAUUGGACAAUGGACGAAAGUCUGAUCCAGCCAUGCCGCGUGAAGGAUUAAGGUCCUCUGGAUUGUAAACUUCUUUUAUAUGGGACGAAAAAAGGGUAUUCUUACUCACUUGACAGUACCAUAUGAAUAAGCACCGGCUAACUCCGUGCCAGCAGCCGCGGUAAUACGGAGGGUGCAAGCGUUAUCCGGAUUCACUGGGUUUAAAGGGUGCGUAGGUGGAUAGGUAAGUCAGAGGUGAAAUCUCGGAGCUUAACUCCGAAACUGCCUUUGAUACUAUCUAUCUUGAAUAUUGUGGAGGUUUGCGGAAUAUGUCAUGUAGCGGUGAAAUGCUUAGAUAUGACAUGGAACACCUAUUGCGAAGGCAGCAGGCUACACAUAUAUUGACACUGAGGC